Molecule: small nuclear RNA, 103 nt
Filed under: Jaculus jaculus (lesser Egyptian jerboa)
Lineage: Eukaryota; Metazoa; Chordata; Mammalia; Rodentia; Dipodidae
Source: RNAcentral
GUGCUCAUUUUGUCAGCACAUUUACUAAAAUUGGAAUGAUACAGAGAAGAUUAGCAUGGCCCCUGCCAAAAAUAUGCAAUAUUUGUACAUUAAUGUUUUAUUU